RNAcentral lists this ribosomal RNA (253 nucleotides) under uncultured bacterium. Its description in RNAcentral is "partial 16S ribosomal RNA". It matches the Rfam family "Bacterial small subunit ribosomal RNA", at positions 524 to 776 of the family's 1533-position model. The record is from RNAcentral.
UACGGAGGGUGCGAGCGUUGUCCGGAAUCACUGGGCGUAAAGGGUGCGUAGGUGGCCAUGAAAGUUCGAUGUGAAAUCUCCGGGCUUAACCCGGAAAAGGCAUUGGAAACUCUGUGGCUGGAGGUUUGGAGGGGGGACUGGAAUUCUCGGUGUAGCAGUGAAAUGCGUAGAUAUCGAGAGGAACACCAGUGGCGAAGGCGGGUCCCUGGACAACACCUGACACUGAGGCACGAAAGCUAGGGGAGCAAACAGG